This 28-nucleotide small RNA is filed under the name Bombyx mori (domestic silkworm). RNAcentral describes it as "ovarian small RNA-15572". The record is from RNAcentral. Lineage: Eukaryota; Metazoa; Arthropoda; Insecta; Lepidoptera; Bombycidae.
GACGCUCAUAGUCGGUGGAGUGGACGAU